UACAGAGGGGGCAAGCGUUGUUCGGAAUUACUGGGCGUAAAGGGCGCGUAGGCGGCCGCCUAAGUCAGACGUGAAAUCCCUCGGCUCAACCGGGGAACUGCGUCUGAUACUGGGUGGCUUGAAUCCGGGAGAGGGAUGCGGAAUUCCAGGUGUAGCGGUGAGAUGCGUAGAUAUCAGGAGGAACACCGAUGGCGAAGGCAGGUCUCUGGGCUGACACUGACGCUCAUGCACGAAAGCGUGGGGAGCAAACAGG
Molecule: ribosomal RNA, 253 nt
Filed under: uncultured bacterium
Lineage: Bacteria
Description: partial 16S ribosomal RNA
Rfam family: Bacterial small subunit ribosomal RNA
Source: RNAcentral